Amphiprion ocellaris (clown anemonefish) is the source of this 4095-nucleotide long non-coding RNA. RefSeq lists it as uncharacterized. The transcript is spliced from 2 exons. NCBI's taxonomy places the organism in Eukaryota, Metazoa, Chordata, Actinopteri, Pomacentridae. The record is from RefSeq and is a predicted model, not a curated record.
UACAGACUGAUGUCAUUUUCACAUGGGGCUGGUGCAAAUAAAGAUUUUAUGGAUUAUUAUGGAUUUUGGCAAAGUAUGUCUUGGGGUUUAUUGGUAAAGAGGUCAGUAAAGAGGGUGUGCUUAUGUAACUGGUUAUGAGUUUUUAUUGGGAAAUAAUUUAUCAACAGUUUUGGGACCACUGUUCCCUCUAAGCUGCGCGUGUGCGCAAUUGCGCACUGCUGACACGGUCUCCGCGCACAGAAAAUCUGCGCUGCGCACAAAAAAAAAUCCAACCUAAAUUGUAAAUAAAAUAAACACGUAACAAUUCAUUCUGUGCUAUUUUUCAGUGUGAGUCAGUGAGUGACCGGUGACUGGCUGCUGCAGCCAAUGAUGCGAUUCACAUACGUAUUUACCAUAGACUGUAUAUAAUGGUAUUUACGCAGCUAAUCAACGUCAGGCGUCCUUAUGUGCAGCCACCGUUGUUCUCAUAGAUAUGAAUGAGUAGAUAGGACACGCCCCUUUGAGCUGCGUGCUACAGCGAGGCUAAGCUAGUGGGGGCAAAGUUUCAGUGCAUUCCGUUGAUGUAGACGGCGUGAAAACGGAAACAAGUAUGCCGUCUCACUGUGCUGCAUACAGUUACACACUACGUCGUACGAUUGAGACAAGGAAACUUGGAAUGACUUUUCAUAGGUAAGAAUAGUUUUUGGCUCUUUUUUCAUUAUGAAAUCUUGUUGAGAGCUUCCAGUCUAUGAGAGCUAACUAGUUAGCCACGAGCAAAACACUAAUGCGAGCUAGCAGCUUGACAGGCAAAUACCAGACGAUUAAUAGUAGCUGUAGUAUAGUUGUACAAGCAGUAGUAGUAAUACUAAAAGUACAAGCAGCAGUAGUAGUAUAAACAGCUGUCAGAGUCGUAGAAGUAUCAGCAUUUGUAAUAGUAUUACAAGUUGUAGUAGCAGUGCCAGUAUCAGCAGCAGUAGUGUCCUACCACUACUACUAGUAGUAGUCACAUUGCUAUUACUACCACCAAUACUACCAAUAGUACUUAUAAAGCCUAACUCAUGUAUAUCCAGAUUACCAUCUAUGUUCUUCCUCCAAACCCAUUUUAUGAUUGGGAUUACAGGCAGUUCUUUAGGACUGCUCUCAAAUAAUAGAAAUGUUACUAAACAAGGUUAUACUUAUCAAAUUAAAUAGCUCUGGUCUCCAGUAUACUGGCGAAUUCGGUUAUUUGUACUUAAUUUAUUAGCAUGAUUUCUUUUUAAUAUGUUGUCUACAGACUUAAUUACUUCUCUGUCUACUUUUCUUACUCCAUGUAGGUUUCCCAGAGACUAUGGGUUGAGGAGGAAUUGGAAGUUUGUCGGCUUAGACCUGGUGUCAUUCCAUCAGUGUUAAACUUCCCGGCUCAUCUUGGAAGAGUACGUGCCAGAAAGACCACGACCAAGCAGCCUUGAGAUCUUAGGCAGCGUCUCCCUCAGACCAAAGAACUACAGACUCUUCACAACCUGCUCAAACUCUUGGUACAGGACCUCACCACACGGGUCAAGAAGGUUUCUGUCUCAUUUCUACUCUGAAGCUCACCUUCUCCUGCUCAAACUGCUGACAAAUGUUUCUGCUGCUCUAAAGUCUGGUCUCCAGAACUUCCUAAAAACUCUCAAAGUCUCUUCUGCUGCAGGUUGCUUUGUAGAACUGUUGCAGAAAACCUCACUAAACCACAUGGAGGGGCCUCAAGAUAGUCGUCCAAAUGAAACCAUACAAAAACCAAACUAGCACAACCCAAAUGCUAAAGUCUCCUGCAGCCUACCAGAGAACCUCUGAGAACAGAGAAUCAGGACAGGAACUCUUACCUUCUGGACAAUCAACAUCGGUUCUCAAACAAGAACACAGAAUGUGUCUGAUCAAAAACCUCUAAAGACUCACUACAGCCAAGAUAAAGACACAACUCAGCUGCACCAAAUCCACUAAUCACUGCACACAGUAGCACCAUGUGUUAACUGUGGCUAAAGAACCACAUUUACCAAGACAACUAUCCAGUACAAAGCCCUAAAACACACCAAGAAACACAUUAAAGACGAUGUUACUGCUGGAAGCUGCAAGCCAACACCUAAAGAACAAACUAAAGCAAUGGAGCUAAACCCGGAUCUGUGGUGAAGAGAAUCAGAGGAAAUGUUUGUCUGCAGCUAAAUAAAGCAGGAAGACACUGAGCUGCUCAGGUGUUCCUGAUAACACCUAGCAGCCACCUGGACAGCCAAUAGGAACACAGCCACCUGGACAGCCAAUAGGAACACAGCCACCUGGACAGCCAAUAGGAACACAGCUUCCUGGAAGUCCAGAGGGCUGGGUUAGUGAAGGAAAUUUAGUUUAAAGUUGAGGCAGAAAGUUAACAAAGAAAGCUGAAAACCACCUUCUGAUACCUGAAAUCUCUGAGUUUUCACACAAAGAACACCUGAACAUGUCAAACUGGUUCCAUAGUAGAACCAUCAUUGUAAAAACGUCAUAGUAUGGUGUGUUGCUCAAAAAACAUUAGGACCCGGCUGUCAGGGGACAAACAUGUAAGAAACAUGAGAACAGAGAGAACCCAACCAGUAGGUCACAGUUUAUCAUCCCCCAGUCAUCUCCUGAAGUCCAUAUGGUGAGAGACAUCAGUAUCUGGUUGUUCAUUUACCAGAGGAUGCUUAUAAUCAUGCUGAUGUGGUCUGUACUCGACAGUAUUUUAGUGACUCAAUAAAUGCCUAAGUUGUUUUUUUAAAAAUGCUUUUUAGUUUUUAAUAAACAUUUAAGAGCCUAUAUGUAAUCAAUAAAUGGCCUUUGACUAUCUUAAGAAAAAUUCACUCAGAACUCUGAUAUGUUAACAGUACUAAAUAAAUCAAUAAAUACAUGCAUACACACAAAAAUAAGUUAAUACAUUAACUGUGUUAAGAUAAGAUUUAGAUUUUUCAAAAAGUUGUUUAUGUUUUUGCAGAAUCCAGUAUUACUCACUGGUUGGUCAUUACAUUUUAUUAGUUUGAUUUCACUGUUUAAAAUGAUGCCACCUCUUUUCAGACAGAACCUGUGAUAACAAAACAAUACAAAAUGUUUAGUUCCGUGUUAAUAAAGCACUUAAAGCUGUAAGUAUGGCUAAAUGCUUUUUUCAAAAUUAAAUAUAUCACUCCUUAGGUGGUAGUGGCCCCAAGUUCAGUAAAGUUGGAAAGAUAUUCACAGAUUCAGACUUCCAGCAUCAAUAACUCGUUAGAUAUAGGUUGUCAAAACAUAAACGGUGCCUCUUUCCCAUUGUUGCAAGGCAGACAAUGUGCUACAAGCCCAGUUUUAUCAAAAGUAGCUGUCUUUCAAGCUACAGGAAUAACAUUGGUGUCUAUGGAGUGAACAGGGUCCGUCUGCAAUUUGCAAAACUGCUGCAACAGUAGAGACAAAUAUUCAAUAACUUCACUCUUAUACAUUGUAGUGUCACUAAAAUCACUGCAGCCUUCAACGGGCUCCUGUUGACAAAGUGUCUUAACAGAAAUGUAAAUGCUGUAAUUUGAUUCUUUUAAUGAACCAUGUAACUUGAAUGGAUGUGAUGCUGGUGUGACCACAGUGCACACGUCUGAUGUUGCUAAGAGUGGUCCAAGGGACGCUCAGGGAGUUUGUGUGUUUGCUCAGACUCAUGAAAAAUUACAGGGAACAUUGUUUGGGACUCAAGCAGUUCCUUCUUUUACUCACUAUCUCCCCAGCCUUAGAAAAAAAAAACCUGUUCACACGGCACAGAUGAGGCUGAGGUACACAGGAAAUGUUUGGCUCCAUUGUACAAGUUUGGGUAAACAGUUUUGUGGGUUGCCCAGUAAGCCAGUGGGUCUGCCGUUCUUUCUACAAUUGCAUUCGCUGUGGCGCUUUGCAUUUGCCAGGCUCUACUUGCGUCUUCGUCUAAUAGGCUCCACAGUUGAACUGGAAAAUAUUGAAGAUCAUCAUCAUCAUCACCAGAAAUGUCAGUCAUUCCCUAUUCAGAAGAGAAAAAGAAUACCUGUGGAAGGUGCUGCUGGUGGUGGAGGACGAGGCUGUGGUGGUGCUUGUGACGUAGAUGACUGCUGCUUGGCAUUCUUUAUGUUAAUUGUUGUGCAUUCUGUUAUUAAAUGUUCUUUCACACUG